AUCGGAUUUACUGGGAGUAAAGCGUGCGUAGGCGGCUUUUUAAGUCGGAUGUGAAAUCCCCGAGCUUAACUUGGGAAUUGCAUUCGAUACUGGGAAGCUAGAGUAUGGGAGAGGAUGGUAGAAUUCCAGGUGUAGCGGUGAAAUGCGUAGAGAUCUGGAGGAAUACCGAUGGCGAAGGCAGACAUCUGGCCUAAUACUGACGCUGAGGUACGAAAGCAUGGGGAGCAAACAGGAUUAGAUACCCUGGUAGUCCAUGCCGUAAACGAUGUCUACUAGCCGUUGGGGCCUUUGAGGCUUUAGUGGCGCAGCUAACGCGAUAAGUAGACCGCCUGGGGAGUACGGUCGCAAGACUAAAACUCAAAUGAAUUGACGGGGGCCCGCACAAGCGGNGGAGCAUGUGGUUUAAUUCGAUGCAACGCGAAGAACCUUACCUGGCCUUGACAUACUAGAAACUUUCCAGAGAUGGAUUGGUGCCUUCGGGAAUCUAGAUACAGGUGCUGCAUNGCUGUCGACAGCUCGUGUCGUGAGAUGUUGGGUUAAGUCCCGCAACGAGCGCAACCCUUUUCCUUACUUGCCAGCAUUUCGGAUGGGAACUUUAAGGAUACUGCCAGUGACAAACUGGAGGAAGGCGGGGACGACGUCAAGUCAUCAUGGCCCUUACGGCCAGGGCUACACACGUGCUACAAUGGUCGGUACAAAGGGUUGCUACACAGCGAUGUGAUGCUAAUCUCAAAAAGCCGAUCGUAGUCCGGAUUGGAGUCUGCAACUCGACUCCAUGAAGUCGGNAUCGCUAGUAAUCGCGGAUCAGAAUGCCGCGGUGAAUACG
Molecule: ribosomal RNA, 826 nt
Filed under: Acinetobacter sp. 'SMCC B0463'
Lineage: Bacteria; Pseudomonadati; Pseudomonadota; Gammaproteobacteria; Moraxellales; Moraxellaceae
Description: bacterial SSU rRNA
Rfam family: Bacterial small subunit ribosomal RNA
Source: RNAcentral